CACCCCUGCAGCCUUCCAGGCCAAGUUCCAGGUCUUCCCUCCCUCCUUGGACUUCCUUCUGUGCCUGGUGCUCAUCUCCAGGGGCUGCAAUUCCAGCUGUUUAUGGGUAAGAUCAACUCUUGCCAGGUGAGCCCAAAGCCCAGCCCAGCGCGGUGGCACCUGGGUGAGAUCAGUGACAGCAAACAGCAGCUCCCAUGGGAACUUUUGAAUGUUGGGACUGUCAGAGCCUCAUCUUUCAGGGUUAUUUUAUUUGCAGGUGUUUCCCUGAGACUCCUCUACCAUCAGAGUUUGGUGUUCCAUCAGCCUUGGGCAGCUUGACUUCCCAGAGCAUGAGCCUGCUCCCAACCAGCUUCUGCAGAGCCCAAACUUCCCUGUGUUCAAUUUCUUGUUAUUGCAUUUAGUCUCUGGUGACUCCCGAGCUGACAGCUGACGAUCUGGAACGUUAAUCCUGGAUAAUGUGACAUGGAACAUUUCCACGGCUCCUCGGCACAGCUUUCCCUCCUCAUGCUGCCUUUGAGUUUGGAUUUGUUUGUUUUCCAAGGCAAACUCUGGAUCUGGCUCCCAUCAACAGCACCCUUUCGACAGAUCCCAAAAUUUAUAUAUUUAUGUAAGUAAUUCUCAGAUAAGGGGGCUAUUUCGGGAAUGGGAUUCUCGUGACAGUCCUGGGAGAGGGUUGGAUCCAGCACGGGAUGAGCUUUAAGCACUGGGAUGCUCAAGAUGCCUCUGCCCAGAGGAAGAUGCUGUGGGGGGACCCCAGUGAGGGCACAGGUGCCCCCACAUCUC
Long non-coding RNA from Lepidothrix coronata (blue-crowned manakin), 783 nucleotides. RefSeq lists it as uncharacterized. The record is from RefSeq and is a predicted model, not a curated record. The transcript is spliced from 3 exons. NCBI's taxonomy places the organism in Eukaryota, Metazoa, Chordata, Aves, Passeriformes, Pipridae.